Molecule: transfer RNA, 76 nt
Filed under: Agathobaculum desmolans
Lineage: Bacteria; Bacillati; Bacillota; Clostridia; Eubacteriales; Butyricicoccaceae
Also listed under: 6 other names
Description: tRNA-Lys
Rfam family: tRNA
About the family: Transfer RNA (tRNA) molecules are approximately 80 nucleotides in length. Their secondary structure includes four short double-helical elements and three loops (D, anti-codon, and T loops). Further hydrogen bonds mediate the characteristic L-shaped molecular structure. tRNAs have two regions of fundamental functional importance: the anti-codon, which is responsible for specific mRNA codon recognition, and the 3' end, to which the tRNAs corresponding amino acid is attached (by aminoacyl-tRNA synthetases). tRNAs cope with the degeneracy of the genetic code in two manners: having more than one tRNA (with a specific anti-codon) for a particular amino acid; and 'wobble' base-pairing, i.e. permitting non-standard base-pairing at the 3rd anti-codon position.
Source: RNAcentral
GCCCCAGUAGCUCAGUCGGCAGAGCACCUGCCUUUUAAGCAGGGUGUCCGGGGUUCGAAUCCCCGCUGGAGCACCA